Molecule: ribosomal RNA, 253 nt
Filed under: uncultured bacterium
Lineage: Bacteria
Description: partial 16S ribosomal RNA
Rfam family: Bacterial small subunit ribosomal RNA
Source: RNAcentral
UACGAAGGGGGCUAGCGUUGUUCGGAAUUACUGGGCGUAAAGCGCACGUAGGCGGAUUGUUAAGUUAGGGGUGAAAUCCCAGGGCUCAACCCUGGAACUGCCUUUAAUACUGGCAAUCUCGAGUCCGAGAGAGGUGAGUGGAAUUCCGAGUGUAGAGGUGAAAUUCGUAGAUAUUCGGAGGAACACCAGUGGCGAAGGCGGCUCACUGGCUCGGUACUGACGCCGAGGUGCGAAAGCGUGGGGAGCAAACAGG